GGUUCUGCCUCCCUUCCUCCACGCCUCUGGUAGCGACGGCCAAGGCUUCAGGGACGACUUCAUUCAUCACCUCUUCUCUCUCGCAUCUUCGGCCUCUCUCACUCUCCUCUGUUCGCAAUUCACGGCGGCGAUAGAAGCUUUAUCGACAGCGACGCAGUAACGGUGAGGGAACACCGAUCUCUGACGGCGACGGCAAUACUUCCUGCGAUGAGCGCUAGCAGCGACGGCGGCGAAACGGGUUGGGCGCAACGAUGAUGCUCUUCGCAGCUCCACGAACGGGUUACAGCAGACACAGAAGCGUGGGUAAGGCUGGGCGACGCUGGGGAUGGUGGCGACGGCGUAGCAGGGCCUGACGAACGAAGGCGGCGACGGUGCCAAGCCCCCUCCGGCGACGCUUCCCUCUUCUCUCGGAUCCCACUCUCUUUGUGUGCUUCUUCUUCAGUUCUGUGUGAAUGAGUUUUACGUUUAGGAAAGGAAAGGGGGAAACUGGGGGUGUGGCUGAGGGGUGAGGAAGUUAGGGUUAGGGUUUCUGGGAUUUGAGAAUUAGGGUUUCUGAUUCAAUUUGGGAAUUAGGGUUAGAAAUUAGGGAUUUUAUAAAAUAAUAAGGAUAGGUAUAAAUAGAUAUUUUGAUAAAAUUGAAGGGUAGAGUAAUUUUAAAAUCAAAUAUACUUUAUUAAAAAUU
Molecule: long non-coding RNA, 682 nt
Filed under: Arachis ipaensis
Lineage: Eukaryota; Viridiplantae; Streptophyta; Magnoliopsida; Fabales; Fabaceae
Description: long non-coding RNA (AIPA_LNC002607)
Source: RNAcentral